GAUGAACGCUAGCGGCAGGCCUAACACAUGCAAGUCGAGGGGUAGAGCACUUCGGUGUUUGAGACCGGCGCACGGGUGCGUAACGCGUAUGCAAUCUACCUUGUACAGGGGAAUAGCCCAGAGAAAUUUGGAUUAAUGCCCCAUAGUAUAUAACCUUCGCAUGUUGGUUAUAUUAAAGUUCCAACGGUACAAGAUGAGCAUGCGUCCCAUUAGUUAGUUGGUAAGGUAACGGCUUACCAAGACGAUGAUGGGUAGGGGUCCUGAGAGGGAGAUCCCCCACACUGGUACUGAGACACGGACCAGACUCCUACGGGAGGCAGCAGUGAGGAAUAUUGGUCAAUGGUCGAAAGACUGAACCAGCCAUGCCGCGUGCAGGAAGACGGUCCUAUGGAUUGUAAACUGCUUUUAUACAGGAAGAAACCCUCCCACGUGUGGGAGCUUGACGGUACUGUAGGAAUAAGGAUCGGCUAACUCCGUGCCAGCCGCCGCCGUAA
RNAcentral lists this ribosomal RNA (494 nucleotides) under uncultured bacterium. RNAcentral describes it as "partial 16S ribosomal RNA". It matches the Rfam family "Bacterial small subunit ribosomal RNA", at positions 28 to 523 of the family's 1533-position model. The record is from RNAcentral.